GAUGAAGAACGCAGCGAAAUGUGAUAACUAAUGUGAAUUGCAGAAUUCCGUGAAUCAUCGAGUCUUUGAACGCACAUUGCGCCCCCUGGUAUUCCGGGGGGCAUGCCUGUCCGAGCGUCAUUGCUGCCCAUCAAGCACGGCUUGUGUGUUGGGUCCUCGUCCCCCCCGGGGGACGUGCCCGAAAGGCAGCGGCGGCACCGCGUCCGGUCCUCGAGCGUAUGGGGCUUUGUCACCCGCUCUGCAGGCCCGGCCGGCGCUGGCCGACGCGAAAGCAACCAUUUUUUCUCCAGGUUGACCUCGGAUCAGGUAGGGAUACCCGCUGAACUUAAGCAUAUCAAUAACGGAGGA
This 348-nucleotide unclassified non-coding RNA is filed under the name soil metagenome. RNAcentral's name for it is "partial contains 5.8S ribosomal RNA, internal transcribed spacer 2, and large subunit ribosomal RNA". The stretch from base 1 to 120 matches the Rfam family "5.8S ribosomal RNA", at positions 35 to 154 of the family's 154-position model. The record is from RNAcentral.